GCGGACCUACGGGGCCGUAUAACCACAACGAUCAGCUGAUCGUUUUUAAAACGGAAGACAGAAA
Molecule: non-coding RNA, 64 nt
Filed under: unclassified sequences
Description: L2-Alphaproteobacteria ribosomal protein leader
Rfam family: L2-Alphaproteobacteria ribosomal protein leader
Source: RNAcentral